This 255-nucleotide ribosomal RNA is filed under the name uncultured bacterium. RNAcentral's name for it is "partial 16S ribosomal RNA". It matches the Rfam family "Bacterial small subunit ribosomal RNA", at positions 524 to 776 of the family's 1533-position model. The record is from RNAcentral.
UACGUAGGGCGCAAGCGUUAUCCGGAAUUAUUGGGCGUAAAGAGCUCGUAGGCGGUUUGUCGCGUCUGCCGUGAAAGUCCGGGGCUCAACUCCGGAUCUGCGGUGGGUACGGGCAGACUAGAGUGAUGUAGGGGAGACUGGAAUUCCUGGUGUAGCGGUGAAAUGCGCAGAUAUCAGGAGGAACACCAAUGGGCGAAGGCAGUGUCCUGGGAAGUACCUGACGCUCGAGGUGCGAAAGCUAGGGGAGCGAACAGG